GUUCUCUCUACAGAAUCGGUUGCUACUCUUGAGGUGGUACACUGGUGUUGCUGCAGUUUGUUUCACGAAUCCGCUAUUUAAUUGAGGAUACAAUGGGGAUCUGUUUCAGUGAGUAUAUAUUGGAUGCUAAAUCACAGUUACAUGCUAAUGGAAUCAUUAAGAUGGAAAAGAAAUCGUUGACAUGUGCUUCGACCGAAUCACAAAGCUUGCUUUACGAAACAAGAAGGAUGCAACUCCUAUAAUGCAGAUUGCUGACACAUUGUUGAGGGAUCAAUGGAAGUUCUGAUAAGAUGUUUUAAUACACCGAAAACCACAACAAGGUGGAAUUCUUCAUGUCGAUCCCCCUAUUUUCUUUCUCACUUUCAAACUGGGAUUAAGGUCUACUUGUUAAAGAAGUGGUAUAUAAAAGCUUGUUAUCCUUUUAUAAGGGAAGAUAUUAUGAGAAGCUUUGGAGCUAAGUUUUACAAUAGAGAAAUUUUCACCCAAAAAAACGUUUAGACUUCUCGUGUAAACAUGUAGAUUUGGAAUUUGUUACAACAUUUGGAAUAUUUUUCAGAUCAAACUUAUUAUUGAAGUUAUAAUAUUAUGAUUU
RNAcentral lists this long non-coding RNA (592 nucleotides) under Helianthus annuus (common sunflower). RNAcentral describes it as "hypothetical non coding rna". Lineage: Eukaryota; Viridiplantae; Streptophyta; Magnoliopsida; Asterales; Asteraceae. The record is from RNAcentral.